AUUGAACGCUGGCGGCAGGCCUAACACAUGCAAGUCGAGCGGCAGCGGAAAAGUAGCUUGCUACUUUUGCCGGCGAGCGGCGGACGGGUGAGUAAUGCCUGGGGAUCUGCCCAGUCGAGGGGGAUAACUACUGGAAACGGUAGCUAAUACCGCAUACGCCCUACGGGGGAACGCAGGGGACCUUCGGGCCUUGCGCGCUUGGAUGAACCCAGGGGGGAUUAGCUAGUUGGUGAGGUAAUAGCUCACCAAGGCGACGAUCCCUAGCUGGUCUGAGAGGAUGAUCAGCCACACUGGAACUGAGACACGGUCCAGACUCCUACGGGAGGCAGCAGUGGGGAAUAUUGCACAAUGGGGGAACCCUGAUGCAGCCAUGCCGCGUGUGUGAAGAAGGCCUUCGGGUUGUAAAGCACUUUCAGCGAGGAGGAAAGGUCAGUAGCUAAUAUCUGCUGGCUGUGACGUUACUCGCAGAAGAAGCACCGGCUAACUCCGUGCCAGCAGCCGCAGUAA
This 507-nucleotide ribosomal RNA is filed under the name uncultured bacterium. RNAcentral describes it as "partial 16S ribosomal RNA". It matches the Rfam family "Bacterial small subunit ribosomal RNA", at positions 30 to 523 of the family's 1533-position model. The record is from RNAcentral.